UACGUAGGGGGCAAGCGUUGUCCGGAUUUAUUGGGCGUAAAGAGCGUGUAGGCGGUUUGGUAGGUCCGUUGUGAAAACUCGAGGCUCAACCUCGAGACGCCGAUGGAAACCAUCAGACUAGAGUCCGGAAGAGGAGAGUGGAAUUCCUGGUGUAGCGGUGAAAUGCGCAGAUAUCAGGAAGAACACCCGUGGCGAAGGCGGCUCUCUGGGACGGUACUGACGCUGAGACGCGAAAAGCGUGGGGAGCGAACAGG
Molecule: ribosomal RNA, 254 nt
Filed under: uncultured bacterium
Lineage: Bacteria
Description: partial 16S ribosomal RNA
Rfam family: Bacterial small subunit ribosomal RNA
Source: RNAcentral